Glycine soja is the source of this 74-nucleotide non-coding RNA. NCBI's taxonomy places the organism in Eukaryota, Viridiplantae, Streptophyta, Magnoliopsida, Fabales, Fabaceae. The record is from Rfam.
GAUCUAUUAGCUUAGUUGGUUAGAGUGUCGUGUUAAUAAUUUGAAUGUCAUAGGUUUGAAUCCUAUAUGGGUUA